RNAcentral lists this ribosomal RNA (757 nucleotides) under uncultured bacterium. RNAcentral describes it as "bacterial SSU rRNA". It matches the Rfam family "Bacterial small subunit ribosomal RNA", at positions 28 to 774 of the family's 1533-position model. The record is from RNAcentral.
GAUGAACGCUAGCUACAGGCUUAACACAUGCAAGUCGAGGGGCAUCAUGAGGUCAGCUUGCUGGCUUUGAUGGCGACCGGCGCACGGGUGAGUAACGCGUAUCCAACCUUCCCCUUAGUAGGGCAUAGCCCGGCGAAAGUCGGAUUAAUACCCUAUGUUUUCCAAUGAGGACAUCUGAGCUGGAACAAAGAUUCAUCGCUAAGGGAUGGGGAUGCGUCAGAUUAGGUAGUCGGCGGGGUAACGGCCCACCGAGCCGUCGAUCGGUAGGGGUUCUGAGAGGAAGGUCCCCCACACUGGUACUGAGACACGGACCAGACUCCUACGGGAGGCAGCAGUGAGGAAUAUUUGGUCAUGGGCGCGAGCCUGAACCAGCCAAGUAGCGUGCAGGAUGACGGCCCCUACGGGUUGUAACUGCUUAUAUGCGGGGAUAAAGUGGCGUACGUGUACGUUUUUGUAGGUACCGCAUGAAUAAGGACCGGCUAAUUCCGUGCCAGCAGCCGCGGUAAUACGGAGGACGCGAGCGUUAUCCGGAUUCAUUGGGUUUAAAGGGUGCGCAGGCGGCCUGUCAAGUCAGCGGUGAAAGCCCGGGGCCCAACCCCGGAAGUGCCGUUGAUACUGUCGGGCUGGAAUGCGGUCGAGGCGGGCGGAACGUGGCGUGUAGCGGUGAAAUGCGUAGAUAUGCCACAGAACGCCGAUAGCGGAGGCAGCUCGCCAGGCCUGCAUUGACGCUCGGGCACGAAAGCGUGGGGAUCGAACA